Molecule: transfer RNA, 80 nt
Organism: Trametes pubescens
Lineage: Eukaryota; Fungi; Basidiomycota; Agaricomycetes; Polyporales; Polyporaceae
Rfam family: tRNA
About the family: Transfer RNA (tRNA) molecules are approximately 80 nucleotides in length. Their secondary structure includes four short double-helical elements and three loops (D, anti-codon, and T loops). Further hydrogen bonds mediate the characteristic L-shaped molecular structure. tRNAs have two regions of fundamental functional importance: the anti-codon, which is responsible for specific mRNA codon recognition, and the 3' end, to which the tRNAs corresponding amino acid is attached (by aminoacyl-tRNA synthetases). tRNAs cope with the degeneracy of the genetic code in two manners: having more than one tRNA (with a specific anti-codon) for a particular amino acid; and 'wobble' base-pairing, i.e. permitting non-standard base-pairing at the 3rd anti-codon position.
Source: Rfam
GGCGCUAUAGUGUAGCGGUUAUCACUUGGGAUUCUGAUCUCAGCGUUCCCAAAACCCAGGUUCGAGCCCUGGUAGCGCCU